AAAUUUUCUUAAGCAAAAUAUUAAAAUUUUACUAUGUUAUGACUGAAUUGUGUUUAUCCCAAGAAUUCAAGAUUAACUUGACAUUUCAAAAUCAGUCAUAUAUUUUACCUACAUUAGCAAAAGGAGGAAGAAAAAAUUAUAUGAUCUUCUCAAUAGAGGCAGAAAAGAAUGAUAAAUGUCAAGUCCAUUAAUGGUUGAAAACACAGAAGUACUUUAAAAACCAGAAUAGUGUCUGCAACAAAAUUCACAUUUAAUAGAUGCUGAAAAACUUCCCUCUGAAAUCAGAAAUUGUACAAACGUGCUCUCCAUCACUACUUUCACUUUUACUCAAUAUUGUACAGGAAGUCUUAUCCAGUGUAAUAAGACAACAUACAAAACAAAAACAAAAACCUAAAAGGAAUAGUAUUGAAAAGAAAACAUCUGUUACUAUCACAGAAAAUAUGAUGACUCGAGUUGAAAUCCAAAAACAAUCUAAAAUGAAUUCCAGGAGAACUAUCCCAACAACCCUACCAUGGCUAGUGUUCCCUGGACACCAUGAACCACACUGUCCGAACCUUCUUCACUCCUGCCAACACCGACCAUCCCCCCAGCUAUGAGAUGCUGAAGGAGGAGCAUGAGGUGGCUGUUCUGGGGGCACCCCACAACCCUGCUCCCCUGACAUCCACCAUGAUCCACAUUCGCAGCGAGAUCUCCCUGCCUGACCAUGUCGUCUGGUCCCUGUUCAACACCUUCUUCAUGAACUCCUGCUGCGUGGGCUUCAGCGUUUGCCUACUCCGUGAAGUCCAGGGACAUGGAGAUGGUUGGUGACCUGACUGGGGCCCAGGCCUAUGCCUCCACCACCAAGUGCCUCAACAUCUGGGCCCUGAUUUUGGGGAUCAUCAUGACCCUUCUGCUGAUCAUCAUCCCAGUACUGAUCUUGCAAGUCUAUUGAUAGAUCAAGAGGAAUCAUCCAUGCCAGGUGCUCUGCCCCUGAUCUGUUUCCCACAUACUUCCAUUCCUCACCCUGCCCCUGAGCCACGUCCUGUAUCAGCCCUUUAUACUCACACACUUUUCUACGAUGGCAUUCAAUAAAAUGCAUGUGUUCCUGGAAAAUAAAUAAAUAAAUAAUAAAAUAAAAUAAAAAUAAAAUGAAUUCCAAAAAUUAAUGAGUUUAUAGUUACUA
RNA transcript from Sapajus apella (tufted capuchin), 1162 nucleotides. It is a transcript of the gene named interferon-induced transmembrane protein 3 pseudogene, with no coding region annotated. The transcript has a single exon. The record is from RefSeq and is a predicted model, not a curated record. NCBI's taxonomy places the organism in Eukaryota, Metazoa, Chordata, Mammalia, Primates, Cebidae.